GGCCUGGUUUUGGAUUUUGGAUUUUAGAUCCCUCUACAGGGUAGGUAGGGCGGAGCGCGGCGGCGGGGAGCCCUAGGGAGGGUUAGGGGUGGACGAGGAGUAGCUAGGUCUACGGGCGCGGCGGCUAGGUUUUUAGGAGAGCCGGAGGUUGGGCAUCGGGAGGUGGAGAGCUAGAGAGGGGUGGUUGGUCGCGGAGGGGACCUAGGGGAGUAGGUAGAUAACGCCGGCGGAAGCAGGCGCUGGUAUCCUCGUCCUCGAGGAUGUCGGCGAUCGUGGGCUCCGGAGUUGGUGGGCUCGUGGCCGGCCGGUGGCCUCGUGGUGGUGGCCGCUGGUCUUGGUCCGGCAGGGGAUGGAAGGGAAAACAGAGGGUAGAGAGAAAGAACGACGGAGGAGGAGUGGUGAAAAGCACGACGAAGUCCCCGAGCGGUACCUAAACCUCGUCGCGACGGGGCUCGAGACGGAACGACGGCAAAACGUGGGCGAGGUCGGUCCUUUGCCUGCCUAGGCAGAAGGGACGCAGGCAGGGGACGGAGAGGCGGAACGGCCUCAGGUUCUGUAGCGGCUUGGGAAGCGACGAACCUCGGAGCCGAGUGUGGCGGGCCCAGGGCGUAGGGGCGGCCUGGAGGGGUCGAACACCUCGGGGUUCUGGGGCGGCGGUUCGGUCGGCCCUUGGGGGCUCCUCGCGGCAGUUAGCAGGAGCAAGAGGUGUGGGCCUAAGGCAGUAGGAACUGGCCUAGAGACGAGGUAGGGCGCUGGGGCUCGAGCGGGCAAGCAAAGGAGACGAGCUCGUUGUCCUGUUCGCGGGAGGACCGGCGCAUGCAGGGGCAACUGGGCUCGGAGGAGGAACGGAGCGGACCUGGCGUUCUCGGUUCCGGGCCGUAGUUGCCGCGGUGAGGUUCCGGGUCGGCCGGACGGGCGAUCCGGUGUCGGUCGAAGGGAGUCGGCGUAGGUGGCUGGCCCGGCUUCGGGUACCAACACGAAGAGGAACUAUCAAGGUCAUUACAACGCUGACAGUCCUAGGCAAGCUGAUACAACCAGCAUAUGAACUACCUAAGUCAGAAGAAGGAUCGCCCUAAAGUCAACGUCCAUGUCCAUUUCACUACGAAACUGUACUCUCGCUACGAACGAACAAAACCUCAAGAAGGCGAAGAAGAAGAAACUAGUUCCCUAUCCAAAGCCCAGCCCUCUGACCUUAAUCGUCCCACCUACAACAAGAAAAAGCAAAGUAAAGUAGGCAUCAGUCUAGAACGAGAAGAUAUACUACUAACGAUAGAUAGCUACAUAAGUACAUAAGUACAACAUCGAACACCGCUCACAUUCGAAAAUAGAACAUAAGAGUAGAUAAGUCAUGUACCAUACAACAUUACUAUAGGUGGAACGAUACGCGAACUUUACGCCAACACGGGAUUAGUACUCAAGUAGUACACUAACCCUAUCUUAGCUUAGAACCUUAAUAG
RNAcentral lists this ribosomal RNA (1457 nucleotides) under Triticum aestivum (bread wheat). RNAcentral describes it as "partial small subunit ribosomal RNA". Lineage: Eukaryota; Viridiplantae; Streptophyta; Magnoliopsida; Poales; Poaceae. The record is from RNAcentral.